UAUAGAUUGUGUAUUGUUAAAUGAUUUAUAAGUUCUUAUAUAAUAACUUGGGGUAAAAUAAAACUUUUUUGGACAUGGUGAUAUAUGACGUGCCUUGAAUACUUGAAUGAUCAUCUUAAUUCACCUUGAUAAAGUGUCUUGAUUGAAUUGUGAUUGGUUAUUGGCAUUGUAAUUUCAUCCUUUCAUCAUGCAUAUGAACAUGCUCAUCUACAUUGGUUCUGUGACAUUUUUGGGAUGAGUACUAUAUGGACUGACGAGAAAGAGAUACAAAAAGGAUGUACCAUUGUGGAGGGAUGUGCCACACACCGUGGUUGAUACUAUUUUGGAGGAACACGUCAUACGCCGUGGUGGAUACGAUAUUCAAUGGACGUGCCACAUGCCGUGGUAGUUACAUGGAAUGAUAAGUCCCAUGGAUCUCGAACUGUGAUUCAACAGAUAAACACUGACAGCAAACAAUUGUGAUCACCAAAUGUUUCUUAUUAGCAAAAAAUGGACAGCAACCAGCCACGAUGUUUUAAUCGCGUUAGAAGAGUUUCCGAGGCAAGUUUCGGCUAGUUUUGGCCAAUUUCGGGAAAGGUUUCGAGGGCAAUGACGUGAACACAAUUAAGGGGAGUCUAUAAGAGGUACAGAUAUACAGCUUGGGGAUCCAUCAGUAUAGGAGUCCCACUCAGCGGUCUAGAAGUGUUCCUUUGUGCAGGAGCCUAGUUUUGGUACCUAACUUUGAUGUAUAUACUUUUGUUCUCGGGUACGGCAGGGGCCCUGUCCCACCUUAUGUUACUUUUCUUCUUACUCUUAGAGGUCUGUGGAUACGGAUGUGGGUUGUAUG
Molecule: long non-coding RNA, 826 nt
Organism: Solanum dulcamara
Lineage: Eukaryota; Viridiplantae; Streptophyta; Magnoliopsida; Solanales; Solanaceae
Exons: 5
Source: RefSeq, a predicted model, not a curated record